Molecule: ribosomal RNA, 155 nt
Filed under: uncultured fungus
Lineage: Eukaryota; Fungi
Description: partial 5.8S ribosomal RNA
Rfam family: 5.8S ribosomal RNA
About the family: 5.8S ribosomal RNA (5.8S rRNA) is a component of the large subunit of the eukaryotic ribosome. It is transcribed by RNA polymerase I as part of the 45S precursor that also contains 18S and 28S rRNA.
Source: RNAcentral
AACUUUCAACAACGGAUCUCUUGGCUCUCGCAUCGAUGAAGAACGCAGCGAAAUGCGAUAAGUCAAUGUGAAUUGCAGAAUUCAGUGAAUCAUCGAAUCUUUGAACGCACCUUGCGCUCGCCGGUAUUCCGGCGAGCAUGCCUGUUUGAGUCUCA